RNAcentral lists this ribosomal RNA (621 nucleotides) under uncultured bacterium. Its description in RNAcentral is "bacterial SSU rRNA". It matches the Rfam family "Bacterial small subunit ribosomal RNA", at positions 60 to 652 of the family's 1533-position model. The record is from RNAcentral.
AGUCGUACGCUUCUUUUUCCACCGGAGCUUGCUCCACCGGGAAAAGAGGAGUGGCGAACGGGUGAGUAACACGUGGGUAACCUGCCCAUCAGAAGGGGAUAACACUUGGAAACAGGUGCUAAUACCGUAUAACAAUCGAAACCGCAUGGUUUUGAUUUGAAAGGCGCUUUCGGGUGUCACUGAUGGAUGGACCCGCGGUGCAUUAGCUAGUUGGUGAGGUAACGGCUCACCAAGGCCACGAUGCAUAGCCGACCUGAGAGGGUGAUCGGCCACAUUGGGACUGAGACACGGCCCAAACUCCUACGGGAGGCAGCAGUAGGGAAUCUUCGGCAAUGGACGAAAGUCUGACCGAGCAACGCCGCGUGAGUGAAGAAGGUUUUCGGAUCGUAAAACUCUGUUGUUAGAGAAGAACAAGGAUGAGAGUAACUGUUCAUCCCUUGACGGUAUCUAACCAGAAAGCCACGGCUAACUACGUGCCAGCAGCCGCGGUAAUACGUAGGUGGCAAGCGUUGUCCGGAUUUAUUGGGCGUAAAGCGAGCGCAGGCGGUUUCUUAAGUCUGAUGUGAAAGCCCCCGGCUCAACCGGGGAGGGUCAUUGGAAACUGGGAGACUUGAGUGCAGA